AGUAUUUGUGAUAUGAAUAGAAUGCCUGUGUGAGAGUGAAGUGUAGGUUAUUUGAGUCUGAGAGUCCUGUGUUUAUUCCUGUGUCUGCGAAGAGAUGGGAGUGCUUGUCCGGUGUCAAACAGAGUUACCGUGGCGCAAUGUUUGGAUUAUGCUACAUCAAUGGAACGGCUUGAAUCUCCACACAAACAAGAUUUAAGGAUGACUGACAAACACUGCAGGCCGCAGCUCGCCAGGACCCUCAUUUCAUACAUGGUGGCCAGGCUGUGAACUGAAGAAGGAUGACAACAACAGCGACAAAAGAACAAGUGCACAUUUUGGACUGAGGUGUUUUACAAACCAUCCCAGUCCAAACCCGACUGCAGACAUGAAACCAAGCCUGGGCCUCUUGCCCACUAACCCUUGAAGUUUUUGGCUCAGUCGUUUGGAUUCCUGUGGUCUGUGUUAGUAAACACGAAAAGGAACGAGCCGUUAGCUGCUGCCCAGGCUCCCUGUAGGCUGCCAGGUGAAGCAGCUCUGUGUGUCCUGGCAGCACUAGAGUGAGGCGAGGGAGAGCCCAUCAACAACAUGAGUGGUGCAGUUUCUAAAUAUCUAACUCAAGCAGUGGAUGGAGGGGCAGAGGAGCAGUGCCAAUAGCAGCAAGUUGAAAAGAUGAACCUGACAGAUCUACAGGAUGCAGAUUUUCCUUCGGUACCUUUACGGAUCUCUGGUCUUCUGGCUCAGACUCCUGUGAACCUCUUCGAUAUCAGCUUUGGCUUUGCCCUCUGGGUUAUCCUGUCCUCCUUCCUCUGCUUGGAUCUGAUCUCCUGUCAGUUCUGCUGUUUUCAAGACUUCAAUAUCUGGGACUAUCUGGGCAGCAUUUGUCGCAUUGUGUUUCCAGCCGUCUGACCCAAAUCCACCUCUUCCUCUGAUCACGGACUGAACUAUAAGACCAGAGGUUCCUGCCUUAGACGCCCUAGCUGCCAUUGCCAAUCCAUCGUUUUUAAAUAAAUGCUUUUUGAGUAAUCUUACUGUCUGUCAUGACUUGAACACUGAGUCUUUUGUUCGGAGCCUUAACAUUGUAUGCCUCCUUUUAAAUAUGUUGGGUAUCCUUUAGGGGCUAAAAACAAAGACUCUCUGGAUUUGUUUCAUAAUGUCAACUAUGCUGUUAACUGCAACAGAUUUCUGUGCAAAAACACAGUAGCCAUGUUUAUAUCCAAAGUUCAUGAACAUUAUGAACAAAACUUUAUAAUACCUAAUAACGAUAAGAAACAAUAAGAGAAUUAGACGUGUUUCCACUGGAGCAAAUUAACCAGGUGGUGCAAAGUGUAAUGUCACAAUGUUUAUGCUUGACUGUAAUUAACAGGGAAUAGAGGUACCAUAGUGGCAUGAACCAAAGAUCAGUUAUCCAGAGAGAUUUUAAUGAAUGAGUUGCAAUCAGGCAAGUUGUUCUUACGUUAUCAUGUCAGCUAAAAUAGUGAUGCCAGAUGUCAUUUGGAGACGUUGAGAGAAAAUAAAUGGCAGCAGAAAUAGAGAUCAGUCAUGCGAGGUAAAUAUUCACAACAUUGGAACCUUUUCAAAAAGUGUGUUUCCAUGUCCUUUUAUGCACACUUAUUUAAUUGUUUUAAAGGCCUCGUUAUAUCAGACACCAGAACAUCUCCCAAAAGUAAUUUUCCUUGUUGAAUUUGCAAACAGUAAUUUCCUUUAUGUUAUUCUAUAUACCGGUAUUCUAUAUUACCUCUGGAGUAAUGGAUUUUCCUCUCUGAUUGUUUCACUCCGAAUAAUUGAACUAACUUUCAACUGUAAAUACAGCAAGUAUCUUCACAAGGAAAUCUGCCUUGUUCAUCUCUAGGUGAUAAAACUCCUUUCCGAUUAAUAUUAUGGUUGAACAUUACCAAACUCAUAAUACGUUCAUAUAACUGAUUGGAUUGACUUUGGACCUUUGGAUAACUUAAAUUGUAACCAGAAGUGAAAUAAACUU
Molecule: long non-coding RNA, 1957 nt
Organism: Cyprinodon tularosa
Lineage: Eukaryota; Metazoa; Chordata; Actinopteri; Cyprinodontiformes; Cyprinodontidae
Exons: 3
Source: RefSeq, a predicted model, not a curated record